This 939-nucleotide long non-coding RNA is filed under the name Helianthus annuus (common sunflower). Its description in RNAcentral is "hypothetical non coding rna". The record is from RNAcentral. Lineage: Eukaryota; Viridiplantae; Streptophyta; Magnoliopsida; Asterales; Asteraceae.
AUGAAAGGCAUAUGUGCAUUCCAGCUGUAGCGGAUUUCAAAUGAGAAUUGAAAACACUUUUGUGGAAUGUGUAUGCAUAGAUAGAGAAACACAUAUAGAGAGAGAACUGAUGGGUAUAGAACUAUAGAAGCCAUUUUCUCUGGAAUAUACCCAAAUCGGAAAUUACCGCCACCAAUCGGCAUCAUCAAGAUACCAUGCAACCAUAGUACACCACCAUGCGAUCGGUUUCCUUCGGCUUACCCCCACCUCAAACCCUAGGAUCUCUGUGAAGUCGUCGGAAAUAGUUUUAGCUGGCGGUCAGUGAUAAAAAGCAUUUAAAAAGUGGCGACGAUGCUCUUCCGACUACCAUACAGGUAGCCUUUGCCUAGAUCGGUGGAGGCGAACGCUAAAGACCGGCGGGAACCACUCACUUGGACCGACGGCGGCAACAACUCGCUCGCCCACUCUCUUUACAACACUGCCGCGAAAUCGGUAGAGCCGUGGUGUUUGUGAUUUUGAGUUUCAAUUCCAGAUCCGAAAGGAAACCUAAUUGUUCCUUUUGUAACCGUCGUAGUAGUCGGACGGUUUAAAAAAAGUUGCCGGAUGAAGACAGUGACGGGUCAAGGGAAAAAACAAAAGAAAAAAAAAUCAGCCAAUAGCCAGUCAGCACGCAGCUGGCACUGUUAAUGCGAGUUCGUAAAUGUUAGUAGUGCCCGCCCAUUCUGUCUCGCCUGCCCGCCGACCCAUGAAUUCUUCAGAGCGGGCCGGCAGGCUUCGGCGCUUGACUAAACCAAUCUAGAGUUAAUUAAUUAAUUAAUAUGUCAAACAAACAAACUGAUAAAUUAUAAAUGAGUUGUAAUCAAGUUGUAAACGUGUUAAAUAAACCGUUAAUGAGUUGAAUUGUAUAAUUUUGGACAAAUCGCUAAAUGAAAAUUGUUUUUUAGUUUUAAAUUUUACUUU